This 420-nucleotide ribosomal RNA is filed under the name uncultured soil bacterium. Its description in RNAcentral is "bacterial SSU rRNA". It matches the Rfam family "Bacterial small subunit ribosomal RNA", at positions 26 to 445 of the family's 1533-position model. The record is from RNAcentral.
AGGAUGAACGCUGGCGGCGUGCUUAACACAUGCAAGUCGAACGAUGAAGGCUGGAGCUUGCUCUGGCUGGAUUAGUGGCGAACGGGUGAGUAACACGUGAGUAACCUGCCCCAGACUCUGGGAUAAGCGCUGGAAACGGCGUCUAAUACCGGAUACGAGCUUCCACCGCAUGGUGAGGAGCUGGAAAGAAUUUCGGUCUGGGAUGGACUCGCGGCCUAUCAGCUUGUUGGUGAGGUAAUGGCUCACCAAGGCGACGACGGGUAGCCGGCCUGAGAGGGUGACCGGGCCACACUGGGACUGAGACACGGCCCAGGACUCCGACGGGAGCAGCAGUGGGAAUAGUUGCAACAAGUGGGACGCAAGCCUGAUGCAGCAACGCGCGUGAGGACGAAGGCUCGGUGUAACUACUUUAGUAGGAAG